GUCGCGCACGGCCUGAAGCGGUGGGAAAAAGGCCUCUCUCCGACUACCUCCCCUUCCCCGUCUCCUCCCUCUCCCAGAUCCGCCUCCCUCUCCUCCUACUCCCUCAGGCAUGGCGGCGCCCCUCACCGGCCCUCUACCGCCUCUCCCGUCCUCCUUACGCGCGCCCCUCACCGGCCGCCACCGCCGCGGCUUGCCCCGCGCCGCUCCCCACCGGCCACCGACGCGCCUUGCCCCCGCGUCGCCCCCGCACGGAGGGGUCCGGGUUUGCCGGCGCGGGCUUGGGCACCGGCGAGCACUCGUCGAUGUCCACCAUGGGCGCCGGAGCCCCAAGCCCCGCACGGGAACCUCUUCCCCGGCGGCGAGCAACCAACCGCUAAAGGAGGCGUGCCCAUCCAUCAGGUGGAUGCCUCGCUUCCGCUUCGAUUUCAUAUGGGGUUGCGUGCAGAUUUGGGGUUCUCGGUGAUGGGCUAUGCAAAAUUGGUGGCUUCUAAUGCCAGCACAUUGAAUAACCAGAUUUCCAGCCAAGCAUGCAAAAACUUCUUAUUCAUGUACCCCUCUCCUAUCUGGAUCUCAAGCAAACCAAGGAUCAACAGCUUGGCUUUUUCUCUCUGAUUUUCAGCCACGGUAUCAGGUUGACCAUGGCAGGCAUGUUCAGCUAUCAGCUUGUGCAUGUAAGUAGCAAAGAAGCAGGGAGCGGCGAGGUUUCAAGUCUCAGGUAAUGUCAUUUGUGAAGUGUCAUUUUCCUGCAGCAGUGUAUAUGGUAGUCUUUGUCGGCUUGUUAUUUUCUCUAUGUAAUUCCUUGGUUGAUCUUUUGAUGGAUGAUUGGUUUAAUAAAUUUUAGUGAAUGUUUGGCUUAAUCAAUUUACGUUAUUAUUUCUUCCUUGCAUGUUAAUCCCUUUGCUUGGUCAUUACAACUUGGUUGGUUUAAUUUGAUAUGCAGAGGCAAUCAGUUCUUCCUGGAUGUAUAAUCCAUAUUCAUGUUGAUUGCCAGUGAGUUAUACUACUGGAUCAGCUCUCCGAUUUAAGAUAAUUUGAGAUGCUAACUUAUUCUAUCUGCCUGGAGCAAUCUGUUUGCUUCUUGCUUUACUUAUGAUUGGGAUUUGGAGAUGGUGCAAGGUGGAACCUUGGGAAGAGUUCAUGACUUUCUGGGGAGUCGAUGCUAAUGUGUUGUGUUAUAGCUGUGAUUUUAAAGCCUUUGUGGGCUUAAUUUUUACAGCCAAAAAUAUGCUUGCAUUCAUUCAUCCUGGAUGGGGAAACAAUGUACUUGCACGCUUGGUUAAUAAAGGAGCUUGUUCUUGAACACGGAUAGUUGUUCCGCCGGCCGCUGGGUUUAGGAAGGCGCAAAUUUGGCAGAUUGGUCAACUAAAAGCCAGCAGUCAACACUAUAUACAGACAUCUCUUGUGGUUUCAGGUACCAAAGAUGGAGAAGGGAGUGCGAGCAGAGGAUCAGCAGGUGCCGAGGUGCCAGGCACAGCUGGACUGACAGGCGACUGCCAGCACCGGAGCCUCCUGUAAGUCUUGCAAUUUUAGUAUCACUGGAUGUAGACCUACUCAAAUUAGGCAUAGGCUCAACACACCAACAGUGCUAUCAUUUUUUAAAUUCAUCAAAGUCAAGAAUACUUAUGAAUGAUGAAUGCACAUUAUUUCUACAUCAGUGGAGUUGGAAAAUAAGAUAGACAUUAAGAGGCCACCCCUACAGUGAGAUGGAAUAUGCUCAAUAUGCAUAGCUGAAUGAACAUCAAAACAUAGUGUAGAUUUAAAAAGUCAGAUGUAGUGCUCGAUCCAUUUAAAUUUUUUUUGAUAUCCUAUGUCAUUUCAGGCAUGAUUUUGCGGAUGUAGUUGCAGAUAUAGAUUGCAUAAAAAAAUAUUGUUCCUACAGCCUUGAAUAACAAAAUUAAAUGACCAAAGCAAGAAAAUCUAUUUGAGAUAUGAAUCACUUAGUGUCCAGAUUGAUAGAUUCAGAAAGCCAAAGGAAAAUAUAGUAUCAUCUUAUACCACUCAGAUUAAUGGCUAUCAAGGAUGUGAGAUCUGACAGAAUAUUCAUGGCCAACAUGGAGUAUUGGGUUAUUAUUCUUCUUAUAUGAACUUCGUCAGGAAAUGAAUUUCUUUCCAUGUUCAAACUUCUACAAAAGGGUAUUUGUACUUGUUUGUAAGUUUCAGUGGAAUUGCUCCCAGAAAAUAGUUUAAAUUUAAUGAUCCAAGUUUGAAUGUGAUGGGAAGUAUGUUGUCAUUUUAUCUGGUGUUUGUGCCUACAAUUAAAUUUGAGCAUUUGUUAAUUAGUUGCACAGGAGAUUUUCAUUCUGAAUUUGUGCCUACAAGUAUGCAGAACUAUUGUGCAAAUAAAAAACCGAGACAUAUUUGCCAUUGCUGGAUGCUUUAAGAUUCAAUGUUGCAAAGACCAAUUCUUGUGGGCUUAAGAAUAUGUAACAAUAUUACCAGAAAAUUCAUAAACACUUAUGACAGGUCUACUGAAAUCUGAAUCUUACAGCAUAUCUCCUGUUAAUUUUAAAAAACAUAAGGAAAGGAGCCCAAAAGGCACAAGUGUUAUACAUAAACAAAAUAUAAUAAUAGAAAAAAUGUGAAAUGACACACAAGAAAAAGCAAAGACAAGAAUUGAUACCUAAACUGGUAUGCUGGUCGGGAUGCUGCAGCCACAUUCUUCUUCAACUUCUUGGCCGCUGGCAGAUCCUUUUGUAAGAUUGUGUAUAAUGCAUGGGAUAUAUUGCAUUGAGCCUCAAGAGUGAAUAUAUAGGGGUACAAGACUGGGGGGGGGGGGGGGGCAAGAAAGCCUCCCCGAGAUAUUGGAACAGCUUAAAUCCUGCUUAUGGCCAAAAUAAGCCGAAACCAGUAGCCAAACGGCGCAUUUUUUUGCAGCUUAUUCUGGCUGUGCUUCUCCCCACCACUCCCAUUUGUACUAAAACGCCGAAGCUGGAUCAAACCCGCUUCUUAGGGAAGCGAUUUUUCCAUUUUUGUGCAGCUCAUUUGAGAAGCGCUUAUGAAAUAAGUAGUCUAACACCUUCUACUCGGUCUCCUUCCGGCAAGGGCGGGCUGCCCAGCACUUGCCACCUCCAAUUGGUUGUUCCUACUCAUCUUGGAUCCAUCAGGAAUUGAGAAAAUUGAAAUAAUCAAUACCCACUGGGAUAGGCAGUACUUUGAAAGAGAAGAUUAAUAAACAUUUAGUCAGUAGUUUAAUACCAUGCAGCAGCUCAGGUGGUGAGAGUGAGCAAGCAAGCUCAUAAUGGACAAGCAUGCAUCGUUGUUGAUCACCUAAACGGCCAGAGCUCCAUAAGCUCUAUGUACCACCUAAAAAAGAACUGAAUCCACACAAAUCAUUCUUCAGCCAAAAACCUACAGCAACAAAACACCAGCCCCAAAUCAAACAAAAAACACAGUUUACUGAAAACUAGAAAUGCAAGCGCGGCUUUGCUGCGCCUACAUUGGAUUGGACAACUGUAGAAUUCAGUAUGUGUCUCUCGAUUGAGGUGCAACAUUUGAGAAUUGAAUAGUGAUUAUUUGUAAUAAGUAUGCUGAUUUUGGCUAAUGCUACCAUAUCAGAAGUAGCUUUUAGCAUAUUUGAAGUGGGCCUUUUCUCGUUGCCUUAUAUCUUCAUGGCAAGAUAAGAUCCAAGAUACAUCAUGUAUUUAGAAGGGAUUGGAAAAUCCUAAAAGGAUUUUAAAAGUAAUAUCGACAUAUUUAUAUUUAAACCUCUAAGGAAACAAAUCCUUCAUAGACAUAACAUGAAUUGCUUGCACCAUCAAAGACAGUCGAUGCUUCAAGCUCAGGACAUGAUGGAAUGGAAAUUUGCUUGGUCAAUAAAACAUUGAUGGUGUUUACUUGAAAUUAGACAUGUCAAUGAGACACAGAAGGCAUAUUUGCAGAAACCAAGAUAGCAAGCUUAGGAAUUUUCUGAUUUUGUCCAGAACCUGAGGAAGAAAAUCGACUUUCCCCUCGACUAUAAAGAGAUGACAACCACUCUUCCAAAUAACAAAUUCGGUGGUUCUUGUAUACACAUUUGUAAAUUGAUUGUUUAUAUACAAUUGGGAUAUCGUAGUAUAUACAAAUAAACAUGCUUUUACUGUCUAGAGGAGGAAAAAUGUGCAUUAUAACAAUCUUAGUAGGGCGUAGGGCACACCUUCCUGAGCAUUCGUAUUCAAAAUCUGGAGAACAGAAGCUCUGUGGCAUUUAGUGCAUGAAUUGAACCACCAAGACUGAUAUGAAUUAUGCAACAUGGAUUGAUAUCAUCAUCUGAGGUUCAGUAAAUAUAAUGAACAAAAAUGUUAUUUUGAUGAUAGAAAUGAAAAAUUGUUUGGCAGAAAGGCACUUCGCAAGUAAUGCAUUCGUAAAAUUGCACAGCUGACUGGUAAAAGCUAAAAAUGGUUAACUAUCCAACGAAACUACAUUAGUAUGCCAUUUAAUUUGUUAGUAACUACAGCUGUACAGAAAGCAAUGGAUUUACCUGUGAAGGUGCUCAAUUCAUUGUUAUUCAGAUCAGAGACGAUGGAGUGGUUGUGAAAAGUACACUUUUAUGUAUUUGUUGAUAUAUAGCAAUAUAGCAUCAGGUUGUUGCCUGUUCCUAGUCAAAUUGUCGAUCAAAUAUGCAUAAGAUUGAGACUACGCACACACACAACUCAUCUACUAAGGUUAUGGACUCAAACAAUCUAUUAAGCCAAAUUCGUACGGUCGUAUGGACGACCAGGAUUGAAGUCACACCGUCGGCAGCCCAGCCACGCGACAAGAUGAUGGUGGCUGAAGAGAGAGGAGAGAUGGUGAGGCAGCUACGGAGACACUUCUGAGUGAUGGCAAGUCUCAAGAAAGAAUAAUGUUACUAUAGAGGUCCUUCCUCAUGUGAACAUCACACUUCAUGAUAGAGUUGCAGGUGGUCUAAUGGAUUCCAGGUGAUUACAUACUAUAGAGGUCCUUCCUCAUGUGAACAUCACACUUCAUGAUAGAGUUGCAGGUGGUCUAAUGGAUUCCAGGUGAUUACAUACCACGGAAAGAAGGCUGGAAGGGGAACUGACCUCAGCACAUCUGAACAUCUCUGCCCCAAUGGUGAUCAAGUGUCCAUAAGGAAACUUAUAGCUGUUCUCCGCAGAGGAGCUGGUCAUCACCUAGAUGGAUUGGCUCUUUUGGAUCCAUGCCCCCAUGCAUCUGAAACUCCCUGUAAUGUUGUUGUGCAUGACUUGGUUGCUAGUGUGACUUGGCCGACCCAACUCCCUCCGGGUUGGACGGUCAAGUGGGACCCAUCCUCGGUCGGCGAGGAUUGCGGUAGCUGAUAUCAUGGCCGGCUUCACCAUGAUGUUUCUGCUUCAACGUUUAGUUGCCAUCCUUUUUCCACUGCUUAAACUUUGAACAAUUUACUUUACGCACUUUUUGAACUCUUGUGGUGUAAUAAAUUGAAGUUGAACCUAAGUUAAUCUACGUGGAAUGUUGUAAUC
Molecule: RNA transcript, 5435 nt
Organism: Setaria italica (foxtail millet)
Lineage: Eukaryota; Viridiplantae; Streptophyta; Magnoliopsida; Poales; Poaceae
Exons: 5
Source: RefSeq, a predicted model, not a curated record